UUUAUGGUUAAUCCAAAACAA
RNAcentral lists this non-coding RNA (21 nucleotides) under Caenorhabditis elegans. The record is from RNAcentral. Lineage: Eukaryota; Metazoa; Nematoda; Chromadorea; Rhabditida; Rhabditidae.